GAUGAACGCUGGCGGCGUGCCUAAUACAUGCAAGUCGAGCGAACGGACGAGAAGCUUGCUUCUCUGUUGUUAGCGGCGGACGGGUGUGUAACACGUGUAUAACCUCCCUAUAAUACUGGGAUAACUUCGGGAAACCGGCUCUAAUACCGUAUAAUAUUUUGAUCCGCAUGGUUCAAAAGUGAAUGACGGUCUUGCUGUCUCUUCUAGAUGGAUCCGCGCUGCAUUAGCUAGUUGUUAAGGUAACGGCUUACCAAGGCAACGAUGCAUAGCCGAGCUGAGAGAGUGAUAGGCGGCACUGGAACUGAGACACGGACCAGACGACUAAGGGAGGCAGCAGUAGGGAAUCUGACGCAAUGGGCGAAAGCAUGACGGAGCGACGCCGCGUGAGUGAUGAAGAUCUUCGGAGCGUAAAAAUCGGUUAUUAGGGAAGAACAGAUGUGUAAGGAACUGUGCACAUAGUGACGGUAAUUAAUCAGAAAGCAACGGCUAACUACGUG
Molecule: ribosomal RNA, 497 nt
Filed under: uncultured bacterium
Lineage: Bacteria
Description: partial 16S ribosomal RNA
Rfam family: Bacterial small subunit ribosomal RNA
Source: RNAcentral